GUUCCAGUGAGUGUGGAAAGAAAAUUUGCAGUGAUUUUGCAGAUUGCACCAAUUUCUUGCCUCGACGCCAGAAAUUAAAAAUCCUGCAAUUUCAGUACCGAAACCUACCCCUCCCCACCUCUCUCCGCCGUUAACCCCCUCGUCUUCGCCUCCCUUCAUCAUUCAUCGCCCGAUCCUGCUGCUACAGUCCUAGAUUAGAAGAAUGGUCCCAAACUUCCCAUCAUCACAUUAUUCUUAUUAGUAACAUCAAGAACGAUAAGACUGAUUAUUAAGAAGAUUUCUGCAUAUUUUACACAUAAGUACUACUGCUUUAUAGAUAAAGUAUAAGGUCAACCAUCGAACAAACUAGCAAGAGUAUUUACUAUUUACAACAAGGCUGCAAAGUAUACAAGUGAAUUAUUAUAACUAUUCAAUUUGAGAAAAAUAACGUGUGACACUGACGUGUAAAAACCUGUGAAAGCACUUUUGUAAGGACGUGUAGUGAAGCAAAGAAGAUCAUGUAUCUAUCCAGUAAACCAAAUCGUCUAACCACAACGGCCAAGACAAGGCUUCAUUCCCACAAGCUGGAUAAUAUUGAACCAAGAAAACGUUCUCCUGAUGGGAAUUCCCAAGGGCCUCCAUCACCGUCGGAAGUAAUUGUAUUUAAUAAUACAAAUCACACUGCAAGUGGAGGACGAAAUAACCAACCUGUGAGAAAUGCACCUGAAGUACCACAAGUCGAAGAGAUUUACCGAUAUUUUCGUGAAUCUUGGGAUAGACGCAUGCACGAAGUUAAUACACAAAAGUUGACUUUGUUGAAAGUCUAGAUGUCACAGAAGAAGAGGCUGGUGUCACCAAUUUUCACCACUGUGUCAUAGUUUGUAAUAAAACCCUUGAAUGUCAUUGACAGUUGAAUAGAAUUGAAAUUAAAAUGGUAAACAUUAGAUUUUGUAUGAUGAAUUGGAUUGGAAAAGACACUGAAAUAAAGAAUACGAAGUUUAGUCUUCACAAUCAU
Folsomia candida is the source of this 994-nucleotide long non-coding RNA. RefSeq lists it as uncharacterized. Lineage: Eukaryota; Metazoa; Arthropoda; Collembola; Entomobryomorpha; Isotomidae. The transcript is spliced from 6 exons. The record is from RefSeq and is a predicted model, not a curated record.